This 77-nucleotide transfer RNA is filed under the name Candidatus Tokpelaia sp. JSC085. Its description in RNAcentral is "tRNA-Ile". It matches the Rfam family "tRNA". From Rfam's summary of the family: Transfer RNA (tRNA) molecules are approximately 80 nucleotides in length. Their secondary structure includes four short double-helical elements and three loops (D, anti-codon, and T loops). Further hydrogen bonds mediate the characteristic L-shaped molecular structure. tRNAs have two regions of fundamental functional importance: the anti-codon, which is responsible for specific mRNA codon recognition, and the 3' end, to which the tRNAs corresponding amino acid is attached (by aminoacyl-tRNA synthetases). tRNAs cope with the degeneracy of the genetic code in two manners: having more than one tRNA (with a specific anti-codon) for a particular amino acid; and 'wobble' base-pairing, i.e. permitting non-standard base-pairing at the 3rd anti-codon position. Lineage: Bacteria; Pseudomonadati; Pseudomonadota; Alphaproteobacteria; Hyphomicrobiales. The record is from RNAcentral.
GGGCUUGUAGCUCAGUUGGUUAGAGCGCGCGCUUGAUAAGCGUGAGGUCGAAGGUUCAAAUCCUUCCAGGCCCACCA